GCCCCUGACUUUAACUACAGAAAAACUUCACCUGAACUCCUACGGGAGCCGGGCUCCAUCCCCAACUUCAACUGCUGGUAAGUUUCGACCAGACCCCUACGGGGGCCGGACUCCACCCCCAGCUGUGACUGAAGGAAGACUCCAUCCGAACUCCUGCGAAAGUCGGAUUCCAAGCUCCUCUCAGACAGAUGGCUAACUACCUCUCUCCGCCAGAUGCUCCAACCGAC
This 227-nucleotide long non-coding RNA is filed under the name Elaeis guineensis (African oil palm). Its description in RNAcentral is "long non-coding RNA (EGUI_LNC067941)". Lineage: Eukaryota; Viridiplantae; Streptophyta; Magnoliopsida; Arecales; Arecaceae. The record is from RNAcentral.